Molecule: long non-coding RNA, 1192 nt
Organism: Acinonyx jubatus (cheetah)
Lineage: Eukaryota; Metazoa; Chordata; Mammalia; Carnivora; Felidae
Exons: 3
Source: RefSeq, a predicted model, not a curated record
UGACAAUAUUAGGUAGUUUACAAUCUUAAAAAUUUAGGGUUUAUCUUAGAUAUUCUUAUGCUAUGAAGUAAGCUUGUAUAAGUAUUGUGAUAAUUCUACCAGAGUUCACUUGACUGUCCAGAGCCCAUCUAAUCAAUCAUGUGUUUCAUGAGCCAGAUAGUCUCUAGGUAAGACACUCUAUGGGUGUAUCAUAAACUACAAUUACUGAAACAGGUAAUUCAGUUUUUAAAGAAAUUAACCUGAUAUGUAAAAGCCUUAGCAAAAUAGGACAGUAAGAAGUCAUCUCCAAUCAGUCUAAGAAACAACUCAGCCCAAGAGCUUCUUACAGACCUUGUAUUCCAGUAAAUAAGAAACACAAAAUACCAAGGAAGUUCACCCUUUACAUCAAAGAGAGAAAAACAGGCCUUUCCUGAAUGAUUGAGAACAAAUUCAACAAAGAAAUGGUUAUUGAUGCAUGGAGAACACCUUUGUAAAAGUUCUACAAGACUGUAUUUAAAAUAACUUGUUCCAUCUAGCACCUAAUCUUAGUUUCUCCUAUAAAAUGACGCAGGGCUCCUUGGAAAACUGACUAAUUCUAGAGUUGGGGCAGGAAAAGUACAAGUUGACCCUGGCCAUCAUGUAAUGACAGAAAAUGAAAAAGUGCUAAAAAAUUAAAAACACAACUAUGGAUACAUGUCAAAAGGAUAUAAGGCUUUGAAAGGGGGAAAAAGCAGUGAAAUAAAGGGAAAGGGAGUUUACAAACUGGUUUGAGUUGAGGAAGCCAGUUUCUUUGAGAAGAAGGAUUUGUUAUCUGAUGAGUGCUGAGUCCUAUCUGAGAAAGCCACACAAUGAAGCACUCUCAGGGUAAAUAAGCAACACUUAAGGACACCAUAUGGGCUUUUUACGCCAAAAACUAAAAUCAACUUCUUGGGUGACGAAUGAACUGAGAGUGGAGGUUCUAUACUACUUAGAAAGAUGAAGGAAAAAGAUUAAAAUCAAAACAAAAUAAAAAGUAAGCAAUAAUUGAUAGAUAAUGGGCAAGUUUAAUGGCGAACUGUACUUAAAGUUAUCAAGAACCAGUACCUGAAAUUUAUUGCAAAGAGAUUUGUAAUUUUUGUUAAGAAUUCCAGUAAACCCUAGACUUCUGGGUAAUGUGAAUCAUUGAGAAGGAAUCUGCUAUUUUCAGGCCAAAAUUUGAUCUUUUAAUGAUGUA